This 492-nucleotide ribosomal RNA is filed under the name uncultured bacterium. Its description in RNAcentral is "partial 16S ribosomal RNA". It matches the Rfam family "Bacterial small subunit ribosomal RNA", at positions 29 to 507 of the family's 1533-position model. The record is from RNAcentral.
AGUGAACGCUGGCGGUAGGCCUAACACAUGCAAGUCGAACGGCAGCACAGUAAGAGCUUGCUCUUACGGGUGGCGAGUGGCGGACGGGUGAGGAAUACAUCGGAAUCUACUUUUUCGUGGGGGAUGACGUAGGGAAACUUACGCUAAUACCGCAUACGACCUACGGGUGAAAGCAGGGGAUCUUCGGACCUUGCGCGAUUGAAUGAGCCGAUGUCGGAUUAGCUAGUUGGCGGGGUAAAGGCCCACCAAGGCGACGAUCCGUAGCUGGUCUGAGAGGAUGAUCCGCCACACUGGAACUGAGACACGGUCCAGACUCCUACGGGAGGCAGCAGUGGGGAAUAUUGGACAAUGGGCGCAAGCCUGAUCCAGCCAUACCGCGUGGGUGAAGAAGGCCUUCGGGUUGUAAAGCCCUUUUGUUGGGAAAGAAAAGCAGCAGGUUAAUACCCCGCUGUUCUGACGGUACCCAAAGAAUAAGCACCGGCUAACUUCGUG